Vombatus ursinus (common wombat) is the source of this 104-nucleotide small nuclear RNA. The record is from Ensembl. Lineage: Eukaryota; Metazoa; Chordata; Mammalia; Diprotodontia; Vombatidae.
GCGCUUGCUUCUGCAGCACAUAUACUAAAAUUGGAAUGAUACAGAGAAGAUUAGCAUGGCCCCUACACAAGGAUACACAAAUUCAUGAAGUAUUCCAUAUUUUU